UAACCAGCAAACCCUUCGAAA
This 21-nucleotide non-coding RNA is filed under the name Caenorhabditis elegans. Lineage: Eukaryota; Metazoa; Nematoda; Chromadorea; Rhabditida; Rhabditidae. The record is from RNAcentral.